RNAcentral lists this ribosomal RNA (253 nucleotides) under uncultured bacterium. Its description in RNAcentral is "partial 16S ribosomal RNA". It matches the Rfam family "Bacterial small subunit ribosomal RNA", at positions 524 to 776 of the family's 1533-position model. The record is from RNAcentral.
UACGAAGGGGGCUAGCGUUGUUCGGAGUUACUGGGCGUAAAGGGCGCGUAGGCGGCCCUCCAAGUCGGGUGUGAAAGCCCACGGCUCAACCGUGGAAUUGCACUCGAGACUGAAGGGCUCGAGGACGGGAGAGGAUGGUGGAAUUCCCGGUGUAGCGGUGAAAUGUGUAGAGAUCGGGAGGAACACCGGUGGCGAAGGCGGUCUUCUGGACGGUGACUGACGCUGAGGCGCGAAAGCGUGGGGAGCAAACGGG